UAGGGAAUCUUCGGCAAUGGACGGAAGUCUGACCGAGCAACGCCGCGUGAGUGAAGAAGGUGUUCGGAUCGUAAAGCUCUGUUGUUAGAGAAGAACGUUGGUAGGAGUGGAAAAUCUACCAAGUGACGGUAACUAACCAGAAAGGGACGGCUAACUACGUGCAAGCAGCCGCGGUAAUACGUAGGUCCCGAGCGUUGUCCGGAUUUAUUGGGCGUAAAGCGAGCGCAGGCGGUUCUUUAAGUCUGAAGUUAAAGGCAGUGGCUUAACCAUUGUACGCUUUGGAAACUGGAGGACUUGAGUGCAGAAGGGGAGAGUAGAAUUCCAUGUGUAGCGGUGAAAUGCGUAGAUAUAUGGAGGAACACCGGUGGCGAAAGCGGCUCUCUGGUCUGUAACUGACGCUGAGGCUCGAAAGCGUGGGGAGCAAACAGG
Molecule: ribosomal RNA, 429 nt
Filed under: Bacillota bacterium
Lineage: Bacteria; Bacillati; Bacillota
Description: Firmicutes bacterium partial 16S ribosomal RNA
Rfam family: Bacterial small subunit ribosomal RNA
Source: RNAcentral